Peromyscus leucopus (white-footed mouse) is the source of this 345-nucleotide long non-coding RNA. RefSeq lists it as uncharacterized. NCBI's taxonomy places the organism in Eukaryota, Metazoa, Chordata, Mammalia, Rodentia, Cricetidae. The record is from RefSeq and is a predicted model, not a curated record. The transcript has 3 exons.
CGAAGCUAUGUUGAGUUGAUGGCUUGAUCAUCCGUCUCCUCAUCUUGGUGCCAGCUCCUCAUCCCUUACCCUCUGUGUUCCUGAAUGACUGUGAAGCUGCCUUGUUGAUUUGCAAGAUUCUGUCUUCUUUCCUUCCUAUCCCUGAGUUCUAUGUACUCCAGCAAGGUACAUAGAACAUGCAGAGACUGAAGGUAAUGGGAUUAGUGAGAACAAGGAUGAGUGGAUUACCAGAAGUAAGAUAAAUUGCUAAGACAGUCCUAAGAAGGAAACACAAUCGCCCUGCCCAAGAGGACCAGUUCUACAGCAGAAGGAGAACACAUCAGAUCUCAGUGGACCAACCUCAGG